Small nucleolar RNA from Acomys russatus (golden spiny mouse), 126 nucleotides. RefSeq annotates it as small nucleolar RNA SNORA28. The transcript has a single exon. The record is from RefSeq and is a predicted model, not a curated record. NCBI's taxonomy places the organism in Eukaryota, Metazoa, Chordata, Mammalia, Rodentia, Muridae.
AAGCAACACUCUGUGGCAGAUGGACAAAACUGUCUGACACAAUUUGAGCUUGCUAUAGCAAGAAAGUCUAACCUAUUCCGGUGUUCUCUUCCCCGUGAGACAAGCCGUUAUAUAGGCUCAAACAAA